AGAAGCUGUAACUCAGUGGUAGAGUAUCUGCUUGGCAUACAGAAUAUCCCAGGUUCAAGGCCUGGUACCUCCA
This 73-nucleotide transfer RNA is filed under the name Sphaerodactylus townsendi. RNAcentral describes it as "tRNA-Ala". It matches the Rfam family "tRNA". From Rfam's summary of the family: Transfer RNA (tRNA) molecules are approximately 80 nucleotides in length. Their secondary structure includes four short double-helical elements and three loops (D, anti-codon, and T loops). Lineage: Eukaryota; Metazoa; Chordata; Lepidosauria; Squamata; Sphaerodactylidae. The record is from RNAcentral.